This is a long non-coding RNA of Brassica napus (rape), 3912 nucleotides long. RefSeq lists it as uncharacterized. The transcript is spliced from 2 exons. NCBI's taxonomy places the organism in Eukaryota, Viridiplantae, Streptophyta, Magnoliopsida, Brassicales, Brassicaceae. The record is from RefSeq and is a predicted model, not a curated record.
ACACCCCCCCCCCCUCCCAGCUUCGUAGCUCCAGUGAUAAGAAAACGCCGGGAAUCGGAGAUGGAAGCUCCUUUGGCAAGCAACGAUGAUACAAGCAUCGAAUCCCACGAACCUGUGGGAAUCGCGAAUCGGAGGUAAGCUGAUCGUCGUACACGUUCCUAGGGAUCGAUUCUCAAAGUCUCGGGGCAUUUCGGCUUUUGGUAAGCAAGCAAAUCGCGGUUUAACCUACGAAUAGCAAUGUGAUUAAUCAUCAAAACCUUAGCAUUGAAUCGGAGGAAAAAAGGAUAAGAGAACUUACUUGUUGAUUUUGUCCUUGGUUUAUGAACUGAGAAAGCAAAUCUUGUUCUUGAUGAAGAUUGAAGCAAUGGCUGAGAUCAAGGUGUUUGAUUGAAUGAUGUGGUGAAAGAGAAACAUUCUUCAGGGAUUCGCAGCCGUGUGCGUAGAGGUAACUGAGGCUCAGUGGAAGCUCUUCCAGUGAUAUGAGAUGAUUGCAUUUGUUGAGGCAGAGAGUUCCCAAAGAUGGAAGCUCUCUGAUGCUUGCGGGGAUUGUCUCAAACUCUAGGCUGCUGAGGUCUAGAUACGUUAUCUUGGUGAAGUGACUAAGCUCCUCCGACAAUGAGCGAAGACCCCUGCAGUUUUCGAGGCGCAGCUCAAGCAACUCUACACCAACAAGUCCCCUCAAUGAUCGGAGCUUCACACAGCCAGAAAGUGUGAGUCUCUCCACCUGACCAAGUUGUGGCAGUGCUCGGAGUUCCCGGCAGUUUUGAAGGCUGAGAUACUUCAACUUGGCAAUUUGUCCCAUGGUAGAGGGUAGUGACUUAAAAUCGUUUCCGGUGAGGUCCAGUGUCUCUAGGAAUUGCAGGUCAGAUAUGUCUCCUGCGAUUUCUUGGAUGUUUAGGUUUAUUAGCUUUAGCUUGGUCAAAAAUGGAAAGCAUUCAAAGCUGUUACAGCUGAAAGGAGCAUUAGAUUCUAUGUAACCCAACCGCUUGAUCUCAAGUGAUUUUAUACUGUCAGAAUCUGACAUAAGCCUAGGCGUUACUGUAUUCUGUUCCAUUGUCAUCGAUUUAUCAGGGAUCUGUUGCUUGGAGCUAAAGGAGAAGUGCUCUGUGAAGGACCCUAAGAUCGGUUCACUCGAAUGGAUCAGAUUUGGAUAUGAACUCCGGAUGGAGAACUGAAUGGAUUGAAGGGUCGCACGAAGGUUAGCGGAAAGGCCUUCGAUAUUCCCGACUCCAAAUGGUGCUUGAUAUGACUCACAAGACCACCAAAUGAAGGAUCUCUCGUCGUUGCUUGAUAUGACUCACAAGGCCAACGAUUUGAGGAAGUGUUUACUUGGAUAUGACUCACCAAGAAACAAGACAAGUUCUUAAACGAAGAACAAAUAGUUUAACUCAAAAGCUUUUGACAAAAUCGAUUUCUUUCUCUAUUAAAAUGAAAGAGUUUCAUACUUAUAGAGUUUUGUAGAUCUAGGAAUUAAAUAGAAAACUAGAUCUAGAUCUAGAUCUAGUCAAUACACGGAAAUAAAGAGAGAAAGCUAGUCAAAGUGACCGUUCGGCUUCUGUCCAGAUGCAUCCGAACCGGCUAAGUCCAAAGCGGUAAGGAUCAGCACAUAGGCGGGACGAUCAGCAAGGGCCGCGGGACGUUCUGAUCGGACAAGUUGCGUUCCAACAAAGCCCAAGUCUUCUGAUAGCUUAAGGAUCCUUGCCUUAGAGAAAUUUCCAAAGGAAAAGUCCAUGAUCGGAUCGAACAAGGUAGAGAGGUCAUCAACACGGUCGUUGGUACAUGCGGUACGAGCCAAUCGAGCCAAAAGAGAGAAGUCUCGAUCAUUUUGUGAAACCUCAUGAUCCAAGUCAAGUAUGGCAUGAUCUUUCUCAAGUCUGGCAUGAUCAUUCUCAAGUCUAGCAUGAUCUUUCUCAAGUCUGGCAUGAUCCUUCUCAAGUCUGGCAUGAUGAAAAACAUGAACUUCGGUUGAAAUGCUCAGAACGUCCUGAACUCCACGCUGAGCUGGUUCCAUGUAAUGAUUCGUGGACUGCGGCACAUCACUCUGCACUGCCACAAAGGUCAAAUAAGUCUAUAUCUAGCUGGCCCUCGAUGGAUAGGUCCGUAAGAAAAUCCAGCCUCGCUAUUUCUCUCUGAAACUGUAACAUGGUUCGCCAGCUGCCCGUCUGUCUACGCCUGCCUUUAAGAAAGUCAACAUUGAAUAUGACACCCCUAAGGAGAUCACAGUUGAUUGCGUUGAGUUUUUUGAGAUUAUGUGAUCUGCUUAUCGACUCUGGGAUGUUCUGUAGCCUCAUGCAGCUUUCUAUUAUCAAUUCCUCAAAAUUCGCGGCUGUUGAAAGAUCUGGAAGCUUUAUUAGAUUCCUCGAACCGGUCACAUCUAGUCUCCGCAGCUUCCAGAGCUUCUGAUCCUAUGUUAAUUAAAGCAUUAUUAAUCAUUGGUCUUAAAGAGGGAACUAACAUUUGUUUUCUAAAGUUAUCUUACUACAGCUUCGUUCCAUAGACUCUCGAGGUUGCUGUAUCGGAGAUUGAGUUCCACCAGAUUGUGGUGCUGGAACCUAUAUGGCAACUUUUCCAACGGAUAUGCAUCCUAAUUUAGUAGCUUAAGUUUAACAGGAAACUGAAGACAAUCUGACUUAAACUGUACCUUGGAUUCUAUAUCACCCAAGUGCUGGAAGAACUUGAAAAAGUUUAGAAAACGCAUGUUGCUAAAUACUUCAUCACUCAUAAAUAAUGUGCGAAGCAUAUCACACAUGUGCAGUGUCACACCUUCAUUUUGAUCCGUACCCUGUUGAUAGAAACACCAAAGCCACUGAGCAUAUUCAGAUCAGUUCUACUUACAACAACAAUUUAGAGGGAAUUAGAAUAACUUACUAUAUUAUUGUUCAGUACAUCAUAUAUCUCGUUAGGAUCCCAUAGAAACCUUUGUUUAGAAGGCCUGUUCCCGGAUUCUUGGCGCACGAUUUCCCUUCCUGUUUGUUCAACCAAGCAAUGCAUGUUUAUACAUCCAUCUGUCGAUAUGCUGAUGAGAGACUUUGCAUUUAAAUGAUUCAUCCUAGGACGACCUUCAUCAAGAAGGGAAGUGACAUGGUUAAAAAGGUAUCCGUUAAAGAGACAGGCAACAUGAAGGAAAGCUGUUUUGUCAAGUUCAUCUAAAUCAUUGUAGCUAAUUCUCAGAAUCUCCUCGACACGUUUGUGUGGCCUUGCUUCAAGUGAACGUAGUUCUUCUUCCCACGUCUCUAUGGUUGUGCUUUCACUGAGAUAUGUGGCAUAAGCCACUAGGGCAGAGGGAAGGCCGUGAGCUAGCUGAGACGCUCUAAUGAAGAGUUGCUCAAAGCCAUCAGAAGGAGGCGCUCUUCCUCCAUAGGCUGACUUCUUAUAGACCUGGAGGGCAUCAUUAUCCUCCAAGCAUUUAACCUCAUAUACAUUGUCUACUCUGCAGGAGGUGAGCAGACCCAUGGCACGUGUAGUUAUGAUUAUUCGGCUCCCUAAACCAAACCAGGCCAGUGCAUGUAUCUGCUCCGCUUUAUCCACACCAUCAAGCACAAUGAAUACUUUUUUGUUCCCUAGUCUUUCCUUUAUCUCAUUGUUGGAUCCUCCUUCAAGGAAACGAUUUUUCUUACCACUGGGGAUGUUGGCGAGGAAUCUUUCCUGCUUCACCUUUAGCAGUGGGCUUGAGAUAUUUCCAACUAUAUCGGCUACCAUCGUUGCUUCAUCCUUGCUAACACAAGAAGCAAACAUUUGUUUCAAUCCCAAAGACGAGAGAAGAAUGUACAUGGUUUUUCAUUUUCGUGAUAACACAUUUUACUUCUUAGAUCGACACUAUCCAUUAUACAAUCUAAUAAAGAUGAACAAUGUAUGGUUAAUCAGAUUAUCUUAUUAAUCUUGAUCCUCAAAAGAUGUAAAUAUUGAGCGUUA